Molecule: ribosomal RNA, 334 nt
Filed under: Aphrodes hamiltoni
Lineage: Eukaryota; Metazoa; Arthropoda; Insecta; Hemiptera; Cicadellidae
Description: partial 12S ribosomal RNA
Source: RNAcentral
AUACCUGAAUAUUAAUAGUUAUUUUCUUGAAACUCUAAGAAUUUGGCGGUAAUAUAUUUUUUUAGAGGAACCUGUUUUUUAAUCGAUGAACCACGAUACUUUCUACCUCUUAUAUUUAUUUGUAUACCUCUAUUUAGAAUGUUUUUUUAGGAUAAUUUUCUUUUUCUUUAUAAGUUUAAUUUUAGGUCAAGGUGCAGUUUUUUUUAGGUAAACAUGGGUUAUUUUUUUAAUAAACAACUAGUUAAGUUGUUUUGAAUUUGGAUUUAACAGUAAAUUUAAUUAAUUAAUUAUUUUGAAUAUUUUUUUAUAUUAUGUACAUAUCGCCCGUCACUCU